This 699-nucleotide ribosomal RNA is filed under the name uncultured bacterium. Its description in RNAcentral is "bacterial SSU rRNA". It matches the Rfam family "Bacterial small subunit ribosomal RNA", at positions 805 to 1504 of the family's 1533-position model. The record is from RNAcentral.
AACGAUGGGUGCUAGUUGUCAGGCAGCAUGCUGUUUGGUGACGCAGCUAACGCGUUAAGCACCCCGCCUGGGGACUACGGUCGCAAGACUAAAACUCAAAGGAAUUGACGGGGGCCCGCACAAGCGGUGGAGCAUGUGGUUUAAUUCGAGGCAACGCGAAGAACCUUACCAGCUUUUGACAUCCCGGUCGCGGUUACCAGAGAUGGUUUCCUUCAGUUCGGCUGGACCGGUGACAGGUGCUGCAUGGUUGUCGUCAGCUCGUGUCGUGAGAUGUUGGGUUAAGUCCCGCAACGAGCGCAACCCUCGCCUUUAGUUGCCAGCAUUAAGUUGGGCACUCUAGAGGGACUGCCGGUGAUAAGCCGGAGGAAGGUGGGGAUGACGUCAAAUCAUCAUGGCCCUUACGGGCUGGGCUACACACGUGCUACAAUGGCGGUGACAGUGAGCAGCCACUCAGCAAUGGGGAGCUAAUCUCUAAAAGCCGUCUCAGUUCGGAUUGUUCCCUGCAACUCGAGAGCAUGAAGUUGGAAUCGCUAGUAAUCGUGGAUCAGCAUGCCACGGUGAAUACGUUCCCGGGCCUUGUACACACCGCCCGUCACACCAUGGGAGUUGGUUUUACCCGAAGACUGUGUGCUAACUUUUAGAGGCAGCAGGCCACGGUAAGGUCAGCGACUGGGGUGAAGUCGUAACAAGGUAACCGUA